RNAcentral lists this unclassified non-coding RNA (335 nucleotides) under soil metagenome. RNAcentral's name for it is "partial contains 5.8S ribosomal RNA, internal transcribed spacer 2, and large subunit ribosomal RNA". The stretch from base 1 to 120 matches the Rfam family "5.8S ribosomal RNA", at positions 35 to 154 of the family's 154-position model. The record is from RNAcentral.
GAUGAAGAACGUAGCGAAAUGCGAUAAGUAAUGUGAAUUGCAGAAUUCAGUGAAUCAUCGAAUCUUUGAACGCACAUUGCGCCCGCCAGUAUUCUGGCGGGCAUGCCUGUUCGAGCGUCAUUUCAACCAUCAAGCCCCAGGCUUGUGUUGGGGACCUGCGGCUGCCGCAGGCCCUGAAAAUCAGUGGCGGGCUCGCUAGUCACUCCGAGCGUAGUAAUACAUCUCGCUCUGGGCGUGCUGCGGGUUCCGGCCGUUAAACCACCUUCAUAACCCAAGGUUGACCUCGGAUCAGGUAGGAAGACCCGCUGAACUUAAGCAUAUCAAUAAGCGGAGGA